RNAcentral lists this long non-coding RNA (1208 nucleotides) under Anas platyrhynchos platyrhynchos (common mallard). RNAcentral describes it as "lncRNA (ENSAPLG00000023900.1)". Lineage: Eukaryota; Metazoa; Chordata; Aves; Anseriformes; Anatidae. The record is from RNAcentral.
CGCAGUCAUGACUGUGCUGGGAGAUUUCAGGCUCUUCUGCUUUUCAAUAUCCAGCUGGAACUUCAUACAAAGAGGCAGAUUUUCAUGAGGUAAUUAAAAUCUUGCUGGAAAUGAGAUUUUUCACAGACUUCAUCAAUUUAAAAGCAGAGGCAUUCAAACAUACUGCAUGUUUUUGACUCCUGGACAACAUACAGACUUUUCUUCUACCAGCUCUCAUCAUUACCCAUGCAGAAGUCCCCUACAAUUUUCAUUAAAUUAGAUUAAGCCUACAAUCUUUAUGCUCUGAUCAAAGUGCAUGCAGAUGUUGAGAUUGCAGGAGGCGUGGACUGCAAAAAAUGGUAUGGGGGGAAAGGGAGAAAUAGUAACAGCAUUACCAAGUAAACCAGGUUGCUUACUACCUGGUAAUAACCAAACCUAAUGACACAAUGAGGUUAUAUGCUCUCAAGGCACUAUCAUUUCUAUUUGAUUUAACUUCCUUUGUGAUUAACCUCACAAAAGAGAAUACCUUAGGUGUCCUAAAAAACAUUUCUCACCAUUUUAUGCUUUUGGAAAGAAUGACCCAAAGAAAUAUUGCUCUUUUAAGGUCAUAUUCUUCUGAACAAUAUCAUCAAAAACACAUUACUCCUUGACCUCUACAGCCUACAGACCUUUACAUGUCCCUAUCUAGGAGGGUCUCAUUAUACUUUUCGGUACCUGUGGACAAGAGGACAAAAUUUUUCCAGACGCACCACUACAAUUCAUUAACCUUUAUUUCUUAUUUUAUACGUUUAAGCCCAAAAGAUGCCUGUGACACAGCAUGGAAGUAUUUACCAUGCACAGAAGAAUUAGGUGCUCCAGACCUGUUCCAGCUAAACUAUGUCGAGUAAAUGAGCUCAUCUGGGGGUCUUCACACAGCAGUGCUUGGGCACUCCCAGUGACCACCCCCUUCGCUAGUUCAAUUAGACCAAGAAUAAUUUGAAAUGAGACUUGUGUUGCAGGUGCUUGUAAAAUGCUGGCUGCUCCAAGGUUCAUAACCGUUAGGCAUCCCUGAAGCAUUACCGUGCCUACAUUGGCUGAAAUAGCCUUUGCAAAUAGUCUCCCUGAAGUCUUCUUGUGCACCUUUGCGACAUUGCAUUUUUAUCCAUAAGUGUCUUAGUACAUAUAUUCAUCGUGCUCCAAAAAUUACCAUGCUAAUUUUUUAAUAAAAGUUCCUUUUUUUUCUACUCCCA